UACGUAGGGUGCGAGCGUUGUCCGGAAUUAUUGGGCGUAAAGGGCUCGUAGGCGGUUUGUCGCGUCGGGAGUGAAAUCCACUGGCUUAACUGGUGGCUUGCUUUCGAUACGGGCAGACUGGAGGUAUGCAGGGGAGAACGGAAUUCCUGGUGUAGCGGUGAAAUGCGCAGAUAUCUGGAGGAACACCGGUGGCGAAGGCGGCAUCCUGGACCGGCAUUGACGCUGAGGAGCGAAAGCCAGGGGAGCAAACGGG
This 253-nucleotide ribosomal RNA is filed under the name uncultured bacterium. RNAcentral's name for it is "partial 16S ribosomal RNA". It matches the Rfam family "Bacterial small subunit ribosomal RNA", at positions 524 to 776 of the family's 1533-position model. The record is from RNAcentral.